UACACUCCUGCGGGAGGCAGCAGUGGGGAAUAUUGGCCAAUGGGCGCAAGCCUGAUCCAGCCAUGCCGCGUGAGUGAUGAAGGCCCUAGGGUUGUAAAGCUCUUUCACCGGUGAAGAUAAUGACGGUAACCGGAGAAGAAGCCCCGGCUAACUUCGUGCCAGCAGCCGCGGUAAUACGAAGGGGGCUAGCGUUGUUCGGAUUUACUGGGCGUAAAGCGCACGUAGGCGGACUAUUAAGUCAGGGGUGAAAUCCCGGGGCUCAACCCCGGAACUGCCUUUGAUACUGGUAGUCUUGAGUUCGAGAGAGGUGAGUGGAAUUCCGAGUGUAGAGGUGAAAUUCGUAGAUAUUCGGAGGAACACCAGUGGCGAAGGCGGCUCACUGGCUCGAUACUGACGCUGAGGUGCGAAAGCGUGGGGAGCAAACAGGAUUAGAUACCCCGGUAGUCCCA
Molecule: ribosomal RNA, 449 nt
Filed under: uncultured organism
Description: partial 16S ribosomal RNA
Rfam family: Bacterial small subunit ribosomal RNA
Source: RNAcentral